GCGCACUUGGCUCCGGCUCUUGGCCAGGCAGUUUUGGUCUCAGUGGGUCACUUGGGAUUCCAGGUCAGCGAAACUGUGUAACUCCCUUUUGAGCAUUCCAGUGAGGACCCACAGUCAGGCAACCCAUUUCAGAGUGGGGUUGCCCUGUAACAUUCCAACUUUUUGGAUUCCAGUCCACCUAGAUUAUAUUUAUUCAUGCAUACAAGAACCGGGGUACAGGCCAGAUGCGCAAGAGGGUGAGAGGAUUCACCAGAGACAGAGUUAGGAGCAAAACAAGCAGAUCUACUGAAAUACACUGCUGAGGGGAGCAUCCCCCAGACAGGAGAGGUCUGACGCACCAUGUGGGAUUCCAUGCUGCAGAGGAUGCAGACAGCAUCACAGCGCUGUGCUCAAC
Molecule: long non-coding RNA, 394 nt
Organism: Talpa occidentalis (Iberian mole)
Lineage: Eukaryota; Metazoa; Chordata; Mammalia; Eulipotyphla; Talpidae
Exons: 3
Source: RefSeq, a predicted model, not a curated record